This 1771-nucleotide unclassified non-coding RNA is filed under the name Hevea brasiliensis (rubber tree). Lineage: Eukaryota; Viridiplantae; Streptophyta; Magnoliopsida; Malpighiales; Euphorbiaceae. The record is from RNAcentral.
AUUUCAAAUUUGUUCAGGUUUUCACAUUUUAAUGUUUCUUUUCCACUCUGUUCCAGCAUCUCAAAGAAAAGAGUAUCUAGAGAACUAAAUGAUUAUCAGAAAUGGAUAAUAAAUUAUAAUCUGUAGAAAAUGAAAGAUUACACACGAGAAAAGAAAUUCAAGAUAGUGUUCUGCUUCUUCUCUGUACUCCUGCUAUUACUUCUCUUUGAUUUUUCAUUUUUAGCUCUACCUUUCCCAUCAGAAAUCUUUCUAGGCUUAGAAUUCACACUUUCCUGAGAUUCCUUGGUAACAUAUAACACAUCUGAAUUUUCUACCUCAGUAACCCCUGAAGCUUGUUCUUCAAUGCUCUCCCUCUGAUGCAAGUCAAUCUCAUUCUCAUUUCGUUUUCUUUUCUUGGAAAUUUUAGGAGUUGAACACAAUAUAUUAAAAUUGUCAUUAUCUACUGCAAAUGCAACUUCUUCAGUACUGCUCUUUAUCAUAAAUGGGUUGUUAGGAAUCUUCACUGAAAUAUCCUCGGGCAUCAUUUUGUUUUCUGUUCUUUCAUGAAUUUCUCGUGGCAAAAUAAAUUUCUGAAGUGUGAGAGCUUCAUUGAUAUACUUCCUUUCAGUUACAACUGGAUCCUGCCUGAUCACUAUUCCUGCAAUAUCCUUCUCUCCUGUUUCAUGAGAAGAAAGGCCCAGAAAGCAGCUCUUUUCUCUGGAUACCACAGUGGAUUCAAGUUUCUGGAGAUUUUGGAUGACAAUGGGAUCUAUGUGACAUUCAGAACAUGGAAAGAAAUCGAAGGCUUCCAUGUUCAUUGGAUUCAAUUUUCCUUCAGCAAUUGCAGUUGCUACUGAAGGGGGAAGUUCUGGUCCAAGGAAAUCAAGCUUCUCAUCCAAAGAAUCUUGAAGAUCUUGUGAAAGAGGUUUCAUGUGUUUUAGUUUCUUGAUGUUGGCAUCAUAUAUUCGGGCAUGCUGGAAAACAGCAAGAGCUUCUUUGAAAGACUUGCAGUAAUCUUCAGGCAUUUGAUUGAGCUUCUCCAACUUCAGAACUGAUAAAACACGGUCCAAGUUUCGAUACUUUGAAACAUAGGAAUGAGCCCUCACAAUCCCAAUCCCAGGAACAGAUGGAAGGAAAUCACAACCAGCUAAGACACACAUGCCCGUAAACAACUCCCUAUUAAAAUAUUGGAAUGAAGGUUUGCAAGCCACAGCAUCAAACACCUUAUCUAAAACUAUCUCUUCGCCGUUGCCAUAUCGAUCCAUCUUAAAAAUGGUCUCCAUCUUGAACUAAUCAAAGUUUCGUGGAAGUUCUUACAGCUUGGCAACCAUAUGCCAAUAGAUCACUAUCCUCUGUUAUAACUGCUACUAUACCACCCUCUUCUGCUUCAAGACUUGAUAAAUAUGCUAACUGUGCAUCAGCUUCAUAUGGAGCUACCACAAAUUCCACAUUUUCUGAUCUCAAUAUCUGAAUCAGUUUACUUGCCAUGAGUGGGGUGAUACUCACUGCUCUCUGGAAGAGUUCACUGGCAGCAUUAACAUUCCCUUCCUUAAGCUUUUCCAUGGCCAAAUCACGAUUAGAUUCUCUUCUCCUGUGUCUCUCAUGUUCAGUUGCAGCUUUACAAGGAAUACUUGCACCAUCAAAAACAACAACUGGGGUAAUCUUGUAGUGUCUAAGAAGAUUGAUUCUGUGCAUGAAGUAGUCUAAAUAUCGCAGCUUUUUAUCGCUAUCUAAAUCUAGACAUAUCUCCAUACUACAUGAAUAAGCUCCUUUGUGAAGCCAUGAAUACGCA